AUAUGAAACGAUUAUUAAAAAUGAAAAGGGAUUGGUUAUAAUUUUAUAUUAUUUUAGAAAUAUUGUAUGAUUUUUAAAAUUAUAUAUAAUUUUAAGCAAUCCUUUUCAUUUGUACUUUUUUUAUGAAAAGUAACAAUAUAUUAUAUAUAUUCUUACUAAUUAUAAAAAUUGUACGAAAAUUUGGUAUCACAUAAUAAAAUUACUUUUUUUUAUGUUUUACCAAAUUUUCAUCAACAAUAUUGAAUUUUCAAUAUUUUGCAUAUAAUAUGUAUUUUUAUUGUUUAUAAUUAUUAUUUGUAGUUAAUUAUGUUUUGGAGAAAAGAUAAUUAUAUAUACUUAUUUCUAUAUAUAUAUCGUAAUUCAUAAUAUAAU
RNAcentral lists this ribosomal RNA (372 nucleotides) under Plasmodium reichenowi. The record is from RNAcentral. Lineage: Eukaryota; Apicomplexa; Aconoidasida; Haemosporida; Plasmodiidae.